RNAcentral lists this ribosomal RNA (482 nucleotides) under uncultured bacterium. RNAcentral describes it as "partial 16S ribosomal RNA". It matches the Rfam family "Bacterial small subunit ribosomal RNA", at positions 28 to 523 of the family's 1533-position model. The record is from RNAcentral.
GACGAACGCUGGCGGCGUGCUUAACACAUGCAAGUCGAACGAUGAAGAAGAGCUUGCUCUUCGGAUUAGUGGCGAACGGGUGAGUAACACGUGACUAACCUGCCCCUUUCUCUGGGAUAACGCUCCGAAAGGAGUGCUAAUACCGGAUACUCACAUCGAGGCACAUGCCUUGAUGUGGAAAGUUUUUCGGAAAGGGAUGGAGUCGCGGCCUAUCAGCUUGUUGGGGAGGUAACGGCUCACCAAGGCGACGACGGGUAGCCGGCCUGAGAGGGCGACCGGCCACACUGGGACUGAGACACGGCCCAGACUCCUACGGGGGGCAGCAGUGGGGAAUAUUGCACAAUGGGCGAAAGCCUGAUGCAGGGACGCCGCGUGAGGGAUGAAGGUCUUCGGAUUGUAAACCUCUUUCAGUAGGGACGAAGCGAAAGUGACGGUACCUAAAGAAGAAACACCGGCUAACUACGUGCCAGCAGCCGCCGUAA